UGAGCCAUGCCAGCCGAGCCAAAGACCUUUUUAAUAGCUAGAACCGCCUGUGUGGUUGUGUUGUUCAGGUUAACCCAGAUCUUUGUCCUGCCAACCCUUCAGGUCCAGUGCACGUGCCAACAUUACUCUGUCUGGGAAGAAGCGCAGAAAACUCCUCCAGCAGAUCCGGCUUGCCCAGAAAGAGAAAGCAGCCAUGGAAGUGGAAGCCCCUGCAAAGCCAGCCAGGACUAGUGGCCCACAGCCUAAAUCAAAAAAGAAGACGAAGCCCCCCCAGGACGUAGACAUGGAGGACCUUGAAGAUGGGAGCUAAGUCUUACCCCUUUCAUCACAAGGUUCUCACCUGGAGCCAGGCGGACUCAGGGCUUGUUCCAGAAGACUUUGGAGAAGACAUUGCACCUUUUCACUCUCCCCAGACUCCUCUUCCAUAAUGGCCUAGUGGCCUGCCUGGAGGGACGUGUUGAGAGGAAGAGUGGAAAAGGAGGACUGGAGAGGCGGCUCCUUAGCAGGCAACUCCAUUUGCAAUAAAGCCCAUAGUUCUCACUGAGAUGUUUGUGCUUGAGUGCAGGGCUGGGGAGGGGCCGUGAGAAGGGCUCUGUGAGUGGGGAAAAGGCAGCUGUGACACGGGACCCACAGGGUGUGCUCGAGCAAAGGCAUCAAGGAGCCAGCCUCCGUGACAGCCUGUGAGUGUCACUCCAACUUUCCACUUCCGACCAAAGUAUAGCUUGCUGUAGAGAUGGCCGAGGAGGUAAGGGUCCUGAUACCAGCCCUGCCACUGCUCUCUGUUACCGGGUGGGCAAAUCGCUUUGUCUUGUUUGUCGCUGCUUCCUUUGCUGGAUUAUAUUUUUAAUAAAGUGAAGACCAGA
This is a long non-coding RNA of Myotis brandtii (Brandt's bat), 863 nucleotides long. RefSeq lists it as uncharacterized. The transcript is spliced from 2 exons. The record is from RefSeq and is a predicted model, not a curated record. NCBI's taxonomy places the organism in Eukaryota, Metazoa, Chordata, Mammalia, Chiroptera, Vespertilionidae.